UGCAUCGGCAGGGAUCGAACCCAGGCCGCCCGCGUGGCAGGCGAGCAUUCUACCACUGAGCCACCGAUCC
RNAcentral lists this transfer RNA (70 nucleotides) under Cordylochernes scorpioides. RNAcentral describes it as "tRNA-Gly". The record is from RNAcentral. Lineage: Eukaryota; Metazoa; Arthropoda; Arachnida; Pseudoscorpiones; Chernetidae.